This 69-nucleotide transfer RNA is filed under the name Ictidomys tridecemlineatus (thirteen-lined ground squirrel). Its description in RNAcentral is "Spermophilus tridecemlineatus (thirteen-lined ground squirrel) tRNA". It matches the Rfam family "tRNA". Rfam says of the family: Transfer RNA (tRNA) molecules are approximately 80 nucleotides in length. The record is from Rfam by way of RNAcentral. Lineage: Eukaryota; Metazoa; Chordata; Mammalia; Rodentia; Sciuridae.
GGGGUUGUGGCUCAGAGGUAGAGUGCUUGCCUAGCAUGCAUGAGGCAUUGGGUUCGAUCCCCAGUACCA